AAAAAUCAAACCCACGAGUUGAGCUUCUUUCAUAUGGGAGUUAGACUAUGACCCUUAUCAAUUCACCUUUUUAUUCAUUGUCGGCUUCCCUCACCUUCCUCCUUCACCUUUUUUUCAUUGUCGGUGCCUCACCUUCCUCCUUUAACAAGUUAACCCAGACCACUCUCCAUUUUUACCUCCUUCAAACACUUUUGUGCUCUUCGUCAAACCCAGUUCCAUUCAACAACUUAGAAACCCUAAGACCAUAAUCGAUUGAACCCAUAACUAAUCGAUUGAACCCAUAACUAAGAAAUCCUAUAAACCAAUUAAAACCCUAGAAAUCAAUUGAACCCAUAACUCAAUUCAAUUUAUUUGGUUCCUAAAAUCUAUUGAAACCCUAAAACCAUCUUCCAUUUGAAAAUACUGUGUGUCCAAGAUUCCAGAUUUUGAUUCACAUAAAAGUAAGCUUUACAUGUAAUAUCUUCUUCAAUCCUCAAACUUGACAAGGUGAGGAGUUUUUGUGGCAUAUACACCUAUACUGAAGAAAGCUGAAUGGGUGGUAGUCAUUAGAGACCAAUCUUUCUCAUACUGUUUCUUAUUUUCAUCAGUGGCAUUCCACUGCUCGAGGUUUUCUUUUACCUCUGCUUUGGUCAAAAUUAAGAUGAAGUAUUUCACUUUUCUGAUGAUGAACUACACAAUGGUGGCAAGAAUCAACAAAUUAGAAGUUUGAGAACAUGGAUGGAUGUACAAACUAAGAACCAGCCCAUAUGUGGUUCCGUGUGCAAGACUUGGCGGCUUCCCUAUCAGAAGGUCAUUUUACCUCCUCCUACGGUCAAGCAUGAGAAGUUCCUUGCGGUAGUUGGUGUAGUGGGUCUUGCAUUUCCCUAGAAGAUGUUGCACGUAUAUGAUAUUUAUCUCUUAUAGGCAUCUCCAAUAUUCGCCUUGCAAACCAUGAUGGACUAUACAUACUUGAAACUACUCUAGUUUCAUUUCAAGAUUCCAGAUAUAAGGCUCGAUAAAGUUCAAGAUAAGGCUGCCACGAAGACUAUUUGCUUUGAAUUCUCUAAAGAUUAUAUGUAUUUUCUUUUAUAAAAAUUAAUGCAUUUUAACAAGGAUUAGAAUGUCAAGGUCUAUGUUACAUUCAAGUGGUUAUUAAUAUUUGUUAAUUAUAUGCAUACUUUUCA
Long non-coding RNA from Vicia villosa (hairy vetch), 1163 nucleotides. RefSeq lists it as uncharacterized. The record is from RefSeq and is a predicted model, not a curated record. The transcript has 5 exons. Lineage: Eukaryota; Viridiplantae; Streptophyta; Magnoliopsida; Fabales; Fabaceae.